UAAGGAAUAUUGCGCAAUGGGCGACAGCCUGACGCAGCGACGCCGCGUGGGGGAUGAAGGUCUUCGGAUUGUAAACCCCUUUCGGCAGGGAAGAUGGAACGGGUAACCGUUCGGACGGUACCUGCAGAAGCAGCCACGGCUAACUUCGUGCCAGCAGCCGCGGUAAUACGAAGGUGGCAAGCGUUGUUCGGAUUUACUGGGCGUACAGGGAGCGUAGGCGGUUGGGUAAGCCCUCCGUGAAAUCUCCGGGCCUAACCCGGAAAGGGCGGAGGGGACUGCUCGGCUAGAGGAUGGGAGAGGAGCGCGGAAUUCCCGGUGUAGCGGUGAAAUGCGUAGAGAUCGGGAGGAAGGCCGGUGGCGAAGGCGGCGCUCUGGAACAUUUCUGACGCUGAGGCUCGAAAGCGUGGGGAGCAAACAGGAUUAGAUACCCUGGUAGUCCACGCCUUAAACGAUGGAUACUAAGUGUCGGCGGGUUACCGCCGGUGCCGCAGCUAACGCAUUAAGUAUCCCGCCUGGGAAGUACGGCCGCAAGGUUG
This 536-nucleotide ribosomal RNA is filed under the name uncultured bacterium. RNAcentral describes it as "bacterial SSU rRNA". It matches the Rfam family "Bacterial small subunit ribosomal RNA", at positions 355 to 896 of the family's 1533-position model. The record is from RNAcentral.